This is a long non-coding RNA of Salvia splendens (bonfire salvia), 1692 nucleotides long. RefSeq lists it as uncharacterized. Lineage: Eukaryota; Viridiplantae; Streptophyta; Magnoliopsida; Lamiales; Lamiaceae. The transcript is spliced from 10 exons. The record is from RefSeq and is a predicted model, not a curated record.
UUCAUUGCGCGCCAUAAAUUCUCCCUUCCGUUCCCGUCGCCACUCCAUCCUGCCGCCGUUCGCCGCCGCUCCAGAUCCGUCGCCGCCGUUCGCCGCUCCAGAUCUGUCAUCGCGGCUCCAGCACCGUCGUCGCCGCUCCAGCCCCGCUCCGCCUCGUUGUCGUCGCCGCUCCAGCCUCGCUCUGCUCCGUCGUCGUCUCUCCAGCCAAGCCUGCCCUAUAUCUAACCAUUUCUGCUACAUUCACAUAGCUAAAAACUUUCCACAAUCUGCAUUCAGUUGAAGACACUAUGGAAUUGUGAGAGAUUUCAAUAUUCAUCUUCCUAAUCAGUGACAUAAAUAGAGCACAACACGGUCUAUGGAUUUAUGCUGGACAGAACUUGGCUGCACACUAUAUUUGCCAUACAGCUUUCUCUCACACUCUGGAUCUUGAACAAAACUUUUGGGAUUUCCUAUAUUUGGUAAUUGGUGCUAAGUGGAAAGAGUGGUGUUCGGGGGGCAUCUUCUUGAAGAAAACAACAUCUGUGAAAGCUGAUGCAGUGAGAAUUGGCCACUACAAUGAUGGGCAGUUUCCAACGAAUGCUAAAGAAUUUACUAAACGCAUAUUCUACACGGUUUUCAUGUGAACCGAUACUAGUAACGAAGCCUCAAGUUCAAGCAAGAAACACUCGAGGGUGGUUGCAGAGGACAUCGGGUCAUGGCAUCUCGACGUUGCAAUAGAUGGAGUGGUAUCUGCCCUGCUCUCCUUGUUUCAAACUCUCAUCAUCCCUAAAAAGGUACAUCACCUUAUAUUGUAUUCAUGGCUUUUUUCAAUCCAGACUAGAUUAAAUGUUUUAUAUUCGUAGUUUUAGUCAUGUAUUAUACGGUGACGCUUGACAAAACACAAAAGUAGAUAUACAACUGUUGUUGAGUAUUAGAGGCAGGAAAAUGGGAGCACAGAUAUUGACAAAUCAACAAUAGUAAAAAUUAGGUGUUGAACAAGAAUGGUCGUGGCGUUCACGAUAGCCUCACUAUUGCCAUGGAUCCACCACAAAUCUGGCUUUUAUCUGGUGUUGAGUAGCACCACUGCCGAUCAAGGAUUGUCUGGUAAUCUAACCAAGUAUGGUUGCAGCUCUGGUGACAUAAAUACAAUUGGAAGCAUCAAUAUGAAAGUCCUAGAGCAUUCUUGAAAUGGGCUGCUGUCAAUCUCGGUUAUUCAUCCUUAGCACAAACUGAUCAAAUUAACACUCUUGAAUCUUUGGAGAGGGGAAUGACAGAGGAAGAACUCUCAACAUAUGGAAAAUUGAGAAAGACUUUACAUUGUGGACCAGUAUCCAUGUUUGAGAAUCUGUGCGAGAAAUGUGGCGCAAAUAUGAGUCCAACACAAAUAGCUCACAAAGUUAAACAUUUCUUCAAGAGCUAUUCGAUAAAUCGACAUAAGAUGACCAUUCUAACGCCUUCAUAUCUAGUGGAGGAGGUGGAUACUAGAGAGGAAGCUGGCUUCUUCAGAUGUGCCGAACGAUGAACAAAUAAGUUUGAUCAAAGAUUUGGAAAGGAAAGAGACGAAGUUUAUGAGAUUGGGAAGGAACAAGAUAUGUGUAGAUGAUAAAUCCGCCACUAAAUCGUUAAUUUGUUUUUUAUUAUUUUUAAAUUUGCACUGAUACUCAAUAUUAUUAUACUUUGGUUUUAUGAGUAAUUAAUGAGUAUUUGUGUAUC